Molecule: ribosomal RNA, 273 nt
Filed under: Alphaproteobacteria bacterium
Lineage: Bacteria; Pseudomonadati; Pseudomonadota; Alphaproteobacteria
Description: partial 23S ribosomal RNA
Rfam family: Bacterial large subunit ribosomal RNA
Source: RNAcentral
GCUGUGGGCGUAGGAAAUUUGAGAGGAGCUGUCCUUAGUACGAGAGGACCGGGAUGGACUCACCUCUGGUGGACCUGUUGUGGCGCCAGCCGCAGUGCAGGGUAGCUAUGUACGGACGGGAUAACCGCUGAAGGCAUCUAAGCGGGAAACCCACCUCGAAACCAGUGCUCCCUAUGAGAGCCGUGAUAGACCAUCACGUCGAUAGGCCGGAUGUGGACGCGCAGCAAUGCGUUAAGCUAACCGGUACUAAUCGCUCCAUCGGCUUGAUCUCAU